Molecule: long non-coding RNA, 2711 nt
Filed under: Homo sapiens (human)
Lineage: Eukaryota; Metazoa; Chordata; Mammalia; Primates; Hominidae
Description: non-protein coding lnc-LRPAP1-4:1
Source: RNAcentral
AUCGGGGUGACCAGGGUGUCCUGGAUGGCUCAUGCCAGGUAGGCAUGGGCAGGACUGAGAAGUCUUGAUAACAUGACCCUCAGCCCUCUCCAUCCCCCAAGGUGGCAGCUUCUUGUACACUUGGGAGUGGCCCCACCUAGUGGGUCUCGGGUGGAGGAAGGCCUGGAGCCUGGCAGUGGGUGUUGGCUCCCACCCCUCCUCUGCCCUCCUGAAGCAGCCCCAGUCCAGGGGCACCACUCUAGAAGGCCCCCCCUUCCCGGGCCGGCCCUCCUCCCCUUGUCCAUCACCACCUUGUUAACAUUCCUGCAAUCCACAGGGUUCCCAUCCCCCAACCAGGCAGCUGCUGCCUGGGGCAGCCUCGCCCUCCAUCUUCUGGACCUCAAUCAGAACCUUCUCUGGCCCCUGCCAGCCUCUUCCUCCAAGCUCAUCUGCACCCCGGGGUCAACAUUAGCAUAUAAAACACUCCCCAUGCUCAAGCACCUUCAAUGGCUCCCUGCUGCUCCGAGACAAUGGUGCAAACAAACACUGGUCCAAUUAGCCAGCUCUCUACAACCCAGCCCUGUCUCCUCCUCCUCCUCCACCCUCACGCCUCCUAUCCCCCCCAACAGGGCUCCUACACAGCCCUUCGGGACACCCAUUCGUGCUCAAAGAUGUCUGAAGUGCCCUUUUCACCCCCCUCCACCCCUUACCCUCUGACAGCUGAGCUAACUCCUAUUCACCCUGCAGAAGUCCCCUGAGGCUCGCCCCUCCAGAGAGCUUCCCCGCAGUGCCCCCAGCCUGGGGUCUGUGCCCCUCCUGGCUCCCCUCGCACCCUCUGAGGACUGAAAAUGCCUCACUCAGUCUCACGCAGCCUCUGAGGCCGGACCGUCUGAUCCCUAGGCCCAGCGCCCGGCAAUGAGAAACUGCUGAAGGCGCUCCCUGCUGCCUGACAGAGGCCAGGGUUCCAGCCAGCUCUGUCCAGGCUGCCCCCGCAGGCUGCAGUGGCCAAAGGUGGCCGGCAGGGGGCUCUCCAGAGCUGGGCAGAUGCCGCGUUCAUGUAGCAAGAGCCUCCUAGUUCAGGUUUUCAUUCUUUACUCUUCUUUUUUUGAGACAGAGCCUGGCUCUGUUGCCUUGGCUGGACUGCAAUGGCGGGAUCUCAGCUCACUGCAACCUCCAACUCCCAGGUUCAAGUGAUUUUCCCACCUCAGCCUCUGGAGUAGCUGGGAUUACAGGCACCUGCUACCACACCUGCCUAAUUUUUGUAUUUUUAGUAGAGAUGGGGUUUCACCAUGUUGACCAGGCUGAUCUCGAACUCCUGACCUCAGGUGAUCCUCCCACCUCCGCCUCCCAAAGUGCUGGGAUUACAGACAUGAGCCACUGUGCCUGGCCACAUUCUUAAUCAUUUUUAAAAGUCAAAAUGAGUUUCAAAUGCUCCGGGCGGCCCCCAGAGGCUGGGCAAAGAGGCAGAUAUGGUCCUUGGACUGGACCCAGCUGGAGAGAGCAGGUAAGGGGGGAAAAAGGGGGCACCUCCAAAAGCUUCCAUUCACCCUCAAGGCCCAGCUCAAACGUCCCCCUGCGCCUCCAAAGCCCUCCCUUCCUAGGCUCUGGGUGGGCUCACCCUCUCUGGGGCCCACCACCGUCUGUGCUGCAAGCUGAGCCUGUCCCAGGGCGAGUGGCCCUCUCUGCAUCACUCUCCACCACGCACAGUCCAUCCCCGAAGGCGGGGCCCAGUCACUUGCCCGUGUGUGAGGCUGGAGCCUGCAGACCUGAGCUGUCCACAGACCGUCGCCUGCCAUGUGCCAAGUGCGCUCGGGCCAAGCUCCAGGAGUCCACACUACAGGCCCGUGACCAACAGAGACGGGGAAUUGGGCCACACUGGGGACCCGGGGGUUGCUGUCACCAAGCCACCUCCUGUCCCAUUCUGAACAGGCAGCUGUCCACAGAGAGACCUCUGCCCCCCAGGCACCAAGACCAGCCAGGCCUGUCUCCACCCGACCCCCACCAGGGCCCCCGUGAUGCACAGCCACGCCCAGUGUCUCAGGAUGAGUGAGGCGCAGCCAUCGCCUUGGGCCAGGGUCACCCUCUCUGCUCUCUGCAGAGCUGGCUGUGGCGGGGCCAAGUGAGGCGGUUCUGGGGAUCGGGGGCCAGGCUAGGACCUGUCCCUGGGGAAGGAGGGAAUGUGGAUUUCCUACACCCAAGAACUUCCAGGGCCUUCCCACGACUCCAGCCCAGCUGUGACCUCCAGACUGAAUGUGACGACACCCACAGACUUAUUGGGAUUCAGAUUCUGGAUAUUUCUCCGUCCCAGUGGCCCCAGUUGUCGGCCAAAUGGUGGCCCACAAAAUGUGUUCACAUACCAGGGCCUGUGAACAGGAGCCUCUGCGGAUGGAAUUGAUGGUCUCGGGAUGGGGUCACCCUGGGUCAUCCAGGUGGGCCCUAAGUCCACAGACUGCAAGAGACUGAAGAGGAGGCUCACGCAGGAGCCAGCAGGCGCAGGGACUGGAGUGGCACAGCCACGAGCCGAGGCCGCCGGGGCCACCAGCGGCUGGAAGGGGCAGGAAGGACCUUCCCAUGGGUCCUCCCCAAGAGCUUUUGGAAAAAGCCAACCCUGAGGACCCCUUGAUUUGGGGUUUCUGGCCUCCAGGCUGCAGAAGGAACCCGUUCUGGACACUUGGCCCUCUCUUGGGGGUCAUCUGCUACAGAAGCCCCAGGAAGCUGAUGCCGCUGCCCCU